RNAcentral lists this ribosomal RNA (492 nucleotides) under uncultured bacterium. RNAcentral's name for it is "partial 16S ribosomal RNA". It matches the Rfam family "Bacterial small subunit ribosomal RNA", at positions 29 to 507 of the family's 1533-position model. The record is from RNAcentral.
AGUGAACGCUGGCGGUAGGCCUAACACAUGCAAGUCGAACAGCAGCACAGUAAGAGCUUGCUCUUACGGGUGGCGAGUGGCGGACGGGUGAGGAAUACAUCGGAAUCUACUUUUUCGUGGGGGAUAACGUAGGGAAACUUACGCUAAUACCGCAUACGACCUACGGGUGAAAGCAGGGGAUCUUCGGACCUUGCGCGAUUGAAUGAGCCGAUGUCGGAUUAGCUACUUGGCGGGGUAAAGGCCCACCAAGGCGACGAUCCGUAGCUGGUCUGAGAGGAUGAACAGCCACACUGGAACUGAGACACGGUCCAGACUCCUACGGGAGGCAGCAGUGGGGAAUAUUGGACAAUGGGCGCAAGCCUGAUCCAGCCAUACCGCGUAGGUGAAGAAGGCCUUCGGGUUGUAAAGCCCUUUUGUUGGGAAAGAAAAGCAGCAGGUUAAUACCCCGCUGUUCUGACGGUACCCAAAGAAUAAGCACCGGCUAACUUCGUG